This 524-nucleotide ribosomal RNA is filed under the name uncultured Glomus. RNAcentral's name for it is "SSU rRNA". It matches the Rfam family "Eukaryotic small subunit ribosomal RNA", at positions 562 to 1087 of the family's 1831-position model. Lineage: Eukaryota; Fungi; Glomeromycota; Glomeromycetes; Glomerales; Glomeraceae. The record is from RNAcentral.
UGGUGCCAGCAGCCGCGGUAAUUCCAGCUCCAAUAGCGUAUAUUAAAGUUGUUGCAGUUAAAAAGCUCGUAGUUGAAUUUCGGGAUCAGCAGGUUGGUCGUGCCUCUGGUAUGCACUGGUUUCGCUGAUUCCUCCUUUCUGAAGAACUGUAAUGUCAUUAAUUUGGUGUUGCAGGGAAAUAGGACUGUUACUUUGAAAAAAUUAGAGUGUUUAAAGCAGGCUAACGCUUGAAUACAUUAGCAUGGAAUAAUGAAAUAGGACGUUUGAUCCUAUUUUGUUGGUUUCUAGGAUUGACGUAAUGAUUAAUAGGGAUAGUUGGGGGCAUUAGUAUUCAAUUGUCAGAGGUGAAAUUCUUGGAUUUAUUGAAGACUAACUACUGCGAAAGCAUUUGCCAAGGAUGUUUUCAUUAAUCAAGAACGAAAGUUAGGGGAUCGAAGACGAUCAGAUACCGUCGUAGUCUUAACCAUAAACUAUGCCGACUAGGGAUCGGAUGAUGUUAAUUUUUUAAUGACUCAUUCGGCGCC